GUGUCAGCCGCCGCGGUAAGACGAACCGUGCGAACGUUAUUCGGAAUCACUGGGCUUAAAGCGCGUGUAGGCGGGCGGGUACGUCGGCGACUGAAAGCCCCCGGCUCAACCGGGGAAGGGGUGCCGAAACGGCCGGCCUGGAGGGGCGUAGGGGGACCUGGAACUUCCGGUGGAGCGGUGAAAUGCGUUGAGAUCGGAAGGAACGCCCGUGGCGAAAGCGAGGUCCUGGACGCCAUCUGACGCUGAGACGCGAAAGCCAGGGGAGCGAACGGGAUUAGAAACCCUGGUAGUCC
This 293-nucleotide ribosomal RNA is filed under the name uncultured bacterium. RNAcentral's name for it is "partial 16S ribosomal RNA". It matches the Rfam family "Bacterial small subunit ribosomal RNA", at positions 505 to 796 of the family's 1533-position model. The record is from RNAcentral.